UUGCUCACCUGCCAGGGAGAUGGCAGGGCCAAGAGGACAGCUUUCUCAGGGUAAGGCCUGUCUCCUGCAGACUGAUGUGCUAACCCUGUGAUUUUCUCACAUACAGAGAGUUCAACUGCAUAAAUUUCUGGUAGUGGGGGUGGGGACUAUAUUCAUGUUCUCCUCUG
Non-coding RNA from Arvicanthis niloticus (Nile rat), 167 nucleotides. The record is from RefSeq and is a predicted model, not a curated record. NCBI's taxonomy places the organism in Eukaryota, Metazoa, Chordata, Mammalia, Rodentia, Muridae.